UUAUUUUGUAAGUUGUUUGCUGGUAGGCCUAUAUAUAAUUUAAAAAAAUACUAUAUUUUUCAUAGGUAAAGGAAGUUGCAUAAUAGACAAGGCCCGGCGAAAUUGGUGUCCUUUUUGUAGACUGCAAAAAUGCUUUCAAAUAAAUAUGAAUAGAAACGCUGUGCAAGAAGAGAGGGGCCCUAGAAAAAAUAAGGGUACCAGAAAGAGUGUUUACGUGCACAGCAGACGAGCACCGAUUGGAUCUGUAACAACCCAUCAACCAACCAACAGCAGUGUAACAACCAUUGAUACACAAGCUAAUAUAUCCAAUCAGAUGCAUAGAUUAAUAUGGAGCUCAUACUACAGCGCCUUUAAACCAGUGAUUCCUCGGAAUCCGUUCUUGACCUGGCACGUGACACCAAUUCCCUCGCUUCUUUUUCAGUCCGAUGGAGCCAGCGCCUCGACCUCGAUAUCGCCUACAGGAACAAUAUAUGAUACGAAGGCAAUGACUUUGUCCAUCUGUCAACAGAUAUUAGUCUCAUCAUUUAGAAGAUUACAUUACAAUCGAAUAUUUAGAUCACUAUAUCCUCAUGAUCAGAUGAUACUGGUGGAAAGAAAAUGGAGUGAACUUUUUCUUUUUUCAACAGCCUACUGGCCCAUGGAUGUUUCCCAAUUACUACAGAACAUGGGUUCAGGUAAUGAAGAUAUCACCAAUUUCAAGAAGAUAAUAGCAGCUUGCCAAUCACUACAGGUUGAUUCAAAUGAGCUGCCUUUUCUGGAAACUAUAAUAGUUUUACGUAAUGAUCAAAUUUUGAAGCUCAUAGAAAGUUCUAAAGUAGAAACGUUACAGGAUCAAGCUCAACUAGCCCUUGCACAUUACGAGAGUCACGCUCACCAUGAGAAGCCUGCGAGAUUUGGUAAAAUGUUACUGACAUUGCCUAUUUUAAAAACCCUAAAUGCUGACACAGUACAGAGAAUGUUCUUUACUGGACGAGAUGGAGUAUUUGACAUGAAAAAGUUUAUAGUAUCGUAUUACACAUGAUUUGUUAUACACGUGAUUGAAGCGUGCAAGUCAACGCGUCUGCCUGCAGCACUUGAGUUUGUCGUUAAAAUAAUCAUUCAGAUUUAUUGAUUUUUUAAUUUGCCAACAUUCGAAUGUGCCGACACUACUAACCGUCUGGCAGUCAAUUGAUUUUCAACGAUCUUUGACAAUAACUUCCCGAGAGUCCACGAAAUCUUAUUAGCACAUUAUAGGCCUCAAUUUGUGAUCCAAUCCUUUCAAAAUGUGGGUCGGAUGUUUAAGCCAUUCAAAGGAAGAAGUCUAUGGAUUUUUCGCCAUUAUGAAUCGUAGAUAUAUAUACCCCUUUGUUAUGAAAUCUACGAACGUCGGUCUAUCGUUCACAUUUCUUGUUAGUUGUCAUACGUUAGAUGCAAUAGUAAUCCAUAUACUAUAUUUUGAUUGUCUACCUGAUUGAAACGAAGAAGACUGUUCGCUUUUACAUUUUCGAUAAUAACUUCUAGAGUUAUUCCCCUUUAUUUUGAAAUCUGGUUAUCGCCUUAUCGAAUGCAGCUAUUAAUAUUUCUGAAAUUCAUCCGACAGAAAGGAAAAACCCUAUUGAUUUUCAACGAUUUUUGAUAUUAACGCCCACUGUUACCACCCUUUGCACGAAAUCAUGUUAGCAUCUUAAAGUAGCUAAGUCUCUAACUCAAUAUCAUCCAAAAUCUUCAACAUUGAAAACACGAUUUAUUUGUCAAAUUAAAUCAACAUUCAUGUUGUGAUCUUACCGGAAAAGAUGGGCUUUUGAUAUCCAAUUUUUAAGACAAAAUAAACAUUUUACCAUUGGUACACGAAUCGUGUACCAUAAUGCGCUUCAGCCCCAGUUGUAUCAAGAGACUCGAGGGACGAGGCUAGACACAUUGCACCAAAUCAAACGGCGUAUGUAGACUGGAUUAACCAGGCGCUAGAAAUUUGCACUCGCUUGAGACUGCUCGCUUAUUUCGCCGAACAUAACCGAUUUGAAAUUGGAGUAAAAACGGAAACCAUUGAAUGUAAAUCAGUUUAUAUACAUUCAUAUUACAGUAUUAUAUGCGUUGCGACCCACUUUUGUCAAUUUCUAGGUCCCAAAUGUUAGCGAUUUAGCUCAUUUUAGCUCUGUUAUGAUGAUUCGACCAUCUUAAUAGAAAGUAUCCGCCCAUCUAUCCUUCACGUUCCAUUUUUAAUAUACUAUAGGUUACAACAAUCUAUAUAAUUUCUUAAAAUUGAUAUGAUUUGUAUAUCUCUAAAAACGAAGGAACCUGUUGAUUUUCAACUUUUUUCAAUAGUCAUUCCAGAGUUAUUCGCCUUUGUUACGAAACUGUAGCUUCGACAAUUUUAUUAUGAACUGAGGUUUUUAUUUUUUGUAAUUUUUGCUUAGUUGUUUAGCUCGUAACUGCUCAUAACUUAACUGCUGGUAGCGUGUUUUUCGUUGUCUGAAAAAUAAUGUUUAUCAGUGAUAAAUGUGUGUAUUGUGUUUAUUUAGACUAUAAUUAACUAUAAUAAUAUGCCUUCUGAAUAGACCAAUGUGCGUCGGAGGUCGUACAUAACAUGGAAUGUUUGCCUUUAAAAAGGCUGACAAUUUAGAAGCCUUGUAUACUUACUCUUAAGAGCAAAAUGCCACUUAUGUUUCUGCUAUAGGAUUGUGCAGUAAUUUAAAGUACAUGUAAAAAGAUGUGUUAAUUUCCAAGAAAAUAAAAUGCAUGCUAUAUUUAU
Molecule: RNA transcript, 2728 nt
Organism: Patella vulgata (common limpet)
Lineage: Eukaryota; Metazoa; Mollusca; Gastropoda; Patellidae
Exons: 5
Source: RefSeq, a predicted model, not a curated record